UGCAUUACGCAACCGCACUUAAUUGGUAAAUAAGUGAUAUAAUCUAUAUCCACCAUAGUAGGCGUGACUUAAAUUUUUA
Non-coding RNA from Coprobacillus sp. CAG:698, 79 nucleotides. NCBI's taxonomy places the organism in Bacteria, Bacillati, Bacillota, Erysipelotrichia, Erysipelotrichales, Coprobacillaceae. The record is from Rfam.